RNAcentral lists this ribosomal RNA (1006 nucleotides) under actinomycete symbiont 1 of Acromyrmex octospinosus. Its description in RNAcentral is "bacterial SSU rRNA". It matches the Rfam family "Bacterial small subunit ribosomal RNA", at positions 335 to 1352 of the family's 1533-position model. The record is from RNAcentral. Lineage: Bacteria; Bacillati; Actinomycetota; Actinomycetes; Actinomycetales.
ACUCCUACGGGAGGCAGCAGUGGGGAUAUUGCGCAAUGGGCGGAAGCUGACGCAGCGACGCCGCGUGGGGGAUGACGGCCUUCGGGUUGUAANCCUCUUUCGCCAGGGACGAAGCUUUUGUGACGGUACCUGGAGAAGAAGCACCGGCCAACNANGNGCCAGCAGCCGCGGUAACACGUAGGGUGCGAGCGUUGUCCGGAAUUAUUGGGCGUAAAGAGCUCGUAGGCGGUGUGUCGCGUCGGCCGUGAAAACUUGGGGCUUAACUCUGAGCGUGCGGUCGAUACGGGCAUCACUUGAGUUCGGCAGGGGAGACUGGAAUUCCUGGUGUAGCGGUGAAAUGCGCAGAUAUCAGGAGGAACACCGGUGGCGAAGGCGGGUCUCUGGGCCGAUACUGACGCUGAGGAGCGAAAGCGUGGGGGAGCGAACAGGAUUAGAUACCCUGGUAGUCCACGCCGUAAACGUUGGGCGCUAGGUGUGGGGACCAUUCCACGGUUUCUGCGCCGCAGCUAACGCAUUAAGCGCCCCGCCUGGGGAGUACGGCCGCAAGCUAAAAACUCAAAGGAAUUGACGGGGGCCCGCACAAGCGGCGGAGCAUGUGGAUUAAUUCGAUGCAACGCGAAGAACCUUACCUGGGUNUGNCAUGCACAGGAUCGCGGCAGAGAUGUCGUUUCCCUUGUGGCCUGUGUGCAGGCGGUGCAUGGCUGUCGUCAGCUCGUGUCGUGAGAUGUUGGGUUAAGUCCCGCAACGAGCGCAACCCUUAUUCCAUGUUGCCAGCACGUAGUGGUGGGGACUCAUGGGAGACUGCCGGGGUCAACUCGGAGGAAGGUGGGGAUGACGUCAAGUCAUCAUGCCCCUUAUGUCCAGGGCUNCNNACAUGCUACAAUGGCUCAUACAGAGGGCUGCGAGACCGUGAGGUGGAGCGAAUCCCUUANNGUGAGUCUCAGUUCGGAUCGGGGUCUGCAACUCGACCCCGUGAAGUUCGGAGUCGCUAGUAAUCGCAGAUCAG